RNAcentral lists this small RNA (139 nucleotides) under Pseudalgibacter alginicilyticus. Its description in RNAcentral is "Algibacter alginicilyticus Flavo-1 RNA". It matches the Rfam family "Flavo-1 RNA". Lineage: Bacteria; Pseudomonadati; Bacteroidota; Flavobacteriia; Flavobacteriales; Flavobacteriaceae. The record is from Rfam by way of RNAcentral.
UUCGGGUUAAGGAUUGAAGCGCCAUCCUUUUUAAAACUAAUAUGUACUGUAGCUUGUGAGAAUUUUGAAUGGCAGAUUGCCACCUUAUACCUUCUUGUAAUAGCGUUUUAAAAAGAUAUAGCAGAAAGCCUGACCCCCG